RNAcentral lists this ribosomal RNA (554 nucleotides) under Lamychaena hians. RNAcentral's name for it is "eukaryotic LSU rRNA". It matches the Rfam family "Eukaryotic large subunit ribosomal RNA", at positions 645 to 1163 of the family's 3401-position model. Lineage: Eukaryota; Metazoa; Mollusca; Bivalvia; Gastrochaenida; Gastrochaenidae. The record is from RNAcentral.
UGACCCGUCCUGAAACACGGACCAAGGAGUCUAACAUGUGCGCGAGUCACAGGGUCUACCGAAACCCGAAGGCGCAAUGAAAGUAAAGGGGGAGCUCGCCUCCCCCGCGAAGGCAAGAUCCCGAGCUUCGGCGAGGGCGCACUGCCGGCCCGUCUCAACGCGGCAUCGUCCGCGAGGCGGAGCUAGAGCGCACACGUUGGGACCCGAAAGAUGGUGAACUAUGCCUGAGUAGGACGAAGUCAGGGGAAACUCUGAUGGAGGUCCGUAGCGAUUCUGACGUGCAAAUCGAUCGUCAAACUUUGGUAUAGGGGCGAAAGACUAAUCGAACCAUCUAGUAGCUGGUUCCCUCCGAAGUUUCCCUCAGGAUAGCUGGCACUAUUCGCUGCAGUUUUAUCCGGUAAAGCGAAUGAUUAGAGGCAUUGGGGACGAACUGACCUCAACCUAUUCUCAAACUUUAAAUGGGUCAGAAGCCCGACUCGCUCGAGUGGAGUCGCGGCAUGGAAUGCAAAGUGCCAAGUGGGCCACUUUUGGUAAGCAGAACUGGCGCUGUGGGA